RNAcentral lists this ribosomal RNA (292 nucleotides) under uncultured bacterium. RNAcentral's name for it is "partial 16S ribosomal RNA". It matches the Rfam family "Bacterial small subunit ribosomal RNA", at positions 505 to 796 of the family's 1533-position model. The record is from RNAcentral.
GUGCCAGCAGCCGCGGUAAUACGGAGGGUGCAAGCGUUAUCCGGAUUUACUGGGUUUAAAGGGUGCGUAGGCGGAUCUUUAAGUCAGUGGUGAAAUCCUCCCGCUUAACGGGAGAACUGCCAUUGAUACUAUUGAUCUUGAAUACAGUUGAGGUGGGCGGAAUGUGUCGUGUAGCGGUGAAAUGCUUAGAUAUGACACAGAACACCGAUUGCGAAGGCAGCUCGCUAAACUGUGAUUGACGCUGAGGCACGAAAGCGUGGGGAUCAAACAGGAUUAGAUACCCUGGUAGUCC